GUUGUCUCAAUGUAUGGGCUCUCAGUUUUUCAAACCCAGACCACAAAUGAAGAACAAAUCCCCAAAAGGAUUCUCCUUGAAUAUUACCCUUACCACUGCCAGGUAUUAUUAUAUAUAAAUAUCCAUCAGUUUUGAAAUUUUUGGUUACUUGAGUAAUCUGUUAAUUUAUCUUAUUCAUUUUGGUUAUGUUGAGAACACCUGUAGUAAGUGCGAUUUAGUUAACACAAGUUGGACACUUAGUUGUAACCGGUAGUAAAGAGAACCUGACGAUUCCACCACUGAAGGUUGUGUCGUUUAUGGCUAAUUAACUUAGAUGGCGUCUCAUAUUAAUGAUUAUAUUAAUUAGUUACCCUUUGAAGCCUAGUAAAUCUGGUCCAGGUGAUGGGAUAAUUACAACAUAUACACAUGAGACUGGUACACACGUAUAUGGGAUAAAUAUAAAAGUUACAAAAUAUUGACACUUGCAGUAAUAUACUAAUAUGUCGUAUGUAUGCCAUGCAAAUGGGAUAAGUCUAUCAACAUGAAUCUUACUUUUGAUUUUGGUUUUUUAGCCCAUUCAGUCCCUAGUAUGCAUUGCAUGAACCAAAAGACUUGUAAAAUAAAAUAGGUUAUUCCAAACCACUAGCCACUUCUAAAAUGGUGCAUUUGACCAGUAUUGUAUUCUAAUUAAAUAUAAUUCAUAUCUAUGGUGAAUUUACAUGUUCUCGGACAUAUAAAAAUAAUAACAAUCAUAUGCUAAAUAACAUUGUAUGAAUUUCUUGAUUUAGACACCAACAUUCAUUGGCAACUGAUGAUCUUGGAAGAACAUCCUCAAUAUGGAAAUGUCGAAGUAUAGAUAAGGCCAAACGAAUAGGGACUUCAGGAUUUUGUGACCCUCUAUGAUGCUCACAAUGAUGCAUAUUAUGACAAAAACAUGCCAAGUGAAAUAAUCUGGUAAAAGCACAUGGAAUGCAAAAUGUGGAGAAAGUAUUCCUGUAAAUAUGAAUACAGCUUUGAAGAAGAUGAAUUUCAGGAUUUUACGACCUUCCAGGUGUCGUAAAUCACUUGUUUGAGAAAACAACCAUAGCGCUGCAACAAAAUUUAUUACCAAUGUUGCUAAGCAAAGUCCCAUGUGUGUCUUGUUUUGUUGAGUAUGUUCGGUGGUCAUCUGGACAACGGUUCCCACUAGCAUCGCCUCAAUCGCUAUAAAAAUAGCAUACAUUGCCAUGUUGAAUGACCUGGAACAACUAUUCUAGUUAAUUCAUGACAUACAUAUAGAAAAAAAAAACAGAAGAUUCUAUGAAAAGUAAAACAAAAGUUUUUUUUUUAUAUAUUAAGGAAUAUAUAUUUAAGAGUUACUAAAGAGGGAGAAUAGUCUCCUGAGUCCUGACUCCUCUACUUGAUGUAAAAUUAUCUUGGUCAAUCUUGAUAUCAUGAUUCAUCAAUAACAAAGUGAAUUGAAGUUAAAUGUGAAAAUUUAGCUCAAACAGAUUCCAGUCAGAUGUCCCACGUAAUAUACAUAAAACUUCUUACUUGUUUGAAAGCAUGAGCCGCGACUGGAAGGUUGCUAAGUCGUUAGUAGAGGACCUAGCUUCAACCGAAGGAGAUCACAAGUUGAAGACCAGCUAGAGGAAUGCCAAGCCACAGUUGGAAAGAGGGGGCAAAAGCUUGUGGAAGCAGCUUGGGCCUCAUUAAAGCUUGAGCUGAAUCUAUUGGAUGCGCCCAGGGCCGAGUCAAUGUUGGGAUGUGAAAUGCGACUGGAAUUGAGUCAACGCUAGGAUGCGGCUGGAAGUUUUUGACCCGAAGCUUGUGAGUCAAGUUUGUUUAAUUGACUUAAGUAUUCGAGUCGGAGUCCAAAUCGCAUAAAAAUAGGAUAGACUUAGUUUGUCUUUAUAGUAUCCGUAUUCGAGUAGUUUGUCUUUAUAGUCUCCGUAUUUGUAUAAUGCGUUGCGGCCCUUUUGAUUUGGUUUUUUAUUGGGUUUAGAAUUGUAAUUUAUGUUGGCUAUUGGUAAUUGGGUUUAGUUAA
Molecule: long non-coding RNA, 2005 nt
Filed under: Helianthus annuus (common sunflower)
Lineage: Eukaryota; Viridiplantae; Streptophyta; Magnoliopsida; Asterales; Asteraceae
Description: hypothetical non coding rna
Source: RNAcentral